This 446-nucleotide ribosomal RNA is filed under the name uncultured bacterium. Its description in RNAcentral is "bacterial SSU rRNA". It matches the Rfam family "Bacterial small subunit ribosomal RNA", at positions 329 to 792 of the family's 1533-position model. The record is from RNAcentral.
CCCCAGACUCCUACGGGAGGCAGCAGUGGGGAAUAUUGCACAAUGGGGGAAACCCUGAUGCAGCAACGCCGCGUGAGUGAAGAAGUAUUUCGGUAUGUAAAGCUCUAUCAGCAGGGAAGAAAAUGACGGUACCUGAGUAAGAAGCCCCGGCUAACUACGUGCCAGCAGCCGCGGUAAUACGUAGGGGGCAAGCGUUAUCCGGAUUUACUGGGUGUAAAGGGAGCGUAGACGGCGAUGCAAGUCUGAAGUGAAAGCCCGGGGCUCAACCCCGGGACUGCUUUGGAAACUGUAUGGCUGGAGUGCUGGAGAGGCAAGCGGAAUUCCUAGUGUAGCGGUGAAAUGCGUAGAUAUUAGGAGGAACACCAGUGGCGAAGGCGGCUUACUGGACAGUAACUGACGUUGAGGCUCGAAAGCGUGGGGAGCAAACAGGAUUAGAUACCCUAGUA